GACGAACGCUGGCGGCGUGCCUAAUACAUGCAAGUCGAACGAACCGCGACUAAGUGCUUGCACUAAGUCAAGGUGAGUGGCGAACGGGUGAGUAACACGUGGGUAACCUACCUCAUAGUGGGGGAUAACAGUCGGAAACGACUGCUAAUACCGCAUAGGACAUAGGCUCACAUGAUCCAGUGAGGAAAGGUGGCGCAAGCUAUCGCUAAGAGAUGGACCCGCGGUGCAUUAGCUAGUUGGUAGGGUAAAGGCCUACCAAGGCGAUGAUGCAUAGCCGACCUGAGAGGGUGAUCGGCCACAUUGGGACUGAGACACGGCCCAAACUCCUACGGGAGGCAGCAGUAGGGAAUCUUCCGCAAUGGACGCAAGUCUGACGGAGCAACGCCGCGUGAGUGAAGAAGGUCUUCGGAUCGUAAAGCUCUGUUGUUAGAGAAGAACAGCGCAUAGAGUAACUGCUAUGCGUGUGACGGUAUCUAACCAGAAAGCCACGGCUAACUACGUG
Molecule: ribosomal RNA, 502 nt
Filed under: uncultured bacterium
Lineage: Bacteria
Description: partial 16S ribosomal RNA
Rfam family: Bacterial small subunit ribosomal RNA
Source: RNAcentral